Molecule: long non-coding RNA, 1280 nt
Filed under: Sus scrofa (pig)
Lineage: Eukaryota; Metazoa; Chordata; Mammalia; Artiodactyla; Suidae
Description: lncRNA (ENSSSCG00015048141.1)
Source: RNAcentral
AUGGCAGAGCGAGGCUGGAUUCAGAAAACCGGAGGUAGAGGGGGAGGCGGGAAGGAAGCCAGCGUGUCUGCAAUAAUGGCAUCAUGGUUUCUAAGACAGAAGGGCGUCAGAGGGGCGGCUGUGCGACCUUCAGAGCCACUGAGGUUGUCUUCGUGCAGACGCGAAGAGAGGCCAUCGCUCAUCCGGCAGACUUGCAGACCUCAAGACAGUCAAGGCAGGAAGAAGGCGGAAACUCUUGCACGGCGUGGGGAGGGCGAUGCAGGUACUCUGCUGGUUUGUUGGCAAGUUCACGUGAGCUUUGUGGAAGCAAUGUGAGACUGUCUCGAGACCCUUUAAAGAGUUCAUUCUCUUUGUUUUUCUGAGGGGUUGACUCGUGUCCGUCAGAGACAUGCGUCCAGGCCCUGAGCCCUGGUCCCCACGACCGCGAGCUUCUCUAGGAACAAGCACUCUGCAGAUGUUAAGGUGGCGUAGGCCCGCCCUUGAUCCAAUACCGUUCGUGUCCUUGUAAGGAGAGGCGACACGCAGACAGACACGGGAAGGACACUCCGUAGUGACAGGCACGGGGUUAGGGUAAACUGAGAGACACCAGGGACUGCAGGGGAUACCAGACGCUAACGGGCAGGAGACCGAUUUUCUCCUGGAGCCUUUGGAGGGAGCUGCUCCCUGUUGGCGCCUGGACUGCAGACUUCUGGCCUCUGCGGCCGUGAGACGACAAAGCCCUGUUGUUUUACGCCCUCCUGGUGUGGCCCUUUGUUACGACAGCCCCAGGAAACCAGCACAGCCUUUCUUUGGCUUUCAUUUCCAGGUCGGAAUCUGACAGCGCCUUACUUGGCAAGUUUCUUCCCAUGGCCUCCUGGCACAUGGACCACAUCUCCCAGUGUCCCUUGCGGUCUGCCAUGGCACGUGACUGAUUUUGGCCAGUGGGAUGCAGUCAGAAGGGACGCCCCCAGGCCUGGCCAGUAGCAACCUGGGCUCCCCUCUCGGUCAGUCCUCUGCCUGGGAGCAGACACCAAGCCUAGGACCCCGAGUCCUACCAGACAGACAGAGUCUGUGCCCCCGGGUCAUCCUAAACACCUGUACGGAGCUCCCUGUUGUGUGGGUGAGCACUGGCCUUCUGCUGAGACUGGAGGGGUCAGCAUUUAGCCCAGCUUGACUAGGAGAAGGAGGGAAUCAGAGAUGGAUGAAAGCCAAGAUUCAGAGGCCAGGAUGCUCCUACGCCCAAUUUUACUCGCUUCCGGCUUCAAAAUAAAGUCACUUUUCUUUUCCUAUUAGGUCUGCGU